This 775-nucleotide ribosomal RNA is filed under the name uncultured Neocallimastigales. RNAcentral's name for it is "partial large subunit ribosomal RNA". It matches the Rfam family "Eukaryotic large subunit ribosomal RNA", at positions 24 to 644 of the family's 3401-position model. Lineage: Eukaryota; Fungi; Neocallimastigomycota; Neocallimastigomycetes; Neocallimastigales. The record is from RNAcentral.
UAUCUCUGUAGAGUCUGCAUAUCAAUAAGCGGAGGAAAAGAAACUAACAAGGAUUCCCUUAGUAACGGCGAGUGAAGCGGGAAGAGCUCAAAUUUGAAAUCUUCAAGGUUCUACCUUGACGAAUUGUAGUUCAAAGAAGUGUUUUCUGUUAGAUGAGUAGCAAAAGUUCCUUGGAAUGGGACAUCAUAGAGGGUGAGAAUCCCGUAUUUGGUUAUUCAUUCUAGCUUUGUGAUACACUUUCAAAGAGUCGGAUUGUUUGGGAAUGCAGUCCAAAAUGGGUGGUAAAUUUCAUCUAAAGCUAAAUAUUGGCGAGAGACCGAUAGCGAACAAGUACCGUGAGGGAAAGAUGAAAAGAACUUUGAAAAGAGAGUUAAACAGUACGUGAAAUUGUCAAAAGGGAAGCGUUUGACACCAGUGUUGUUUUUCCGAAAAUCAAUUACGAAUGGCUUGAUUUUGUGUUGUAUUGACCUUAUCAGCUUUCUUCACUUUUUUCGAGUCUUUCUUAAUGCACUUUUUGGUUAACAAGUCAACAUCAAUUUCUUUUGUUGUAAAAGAGUAUUCGGAAGGUGGCUUUCUUUUCGGAGAAAGUGUUUAUAGCCCUAUACUUCUACAAUCAGGAGAGAUUGAGGUCUGCAGCGUAGAUCCUUCGGGGUUAGAUACACUUGUGCUAAGUUGUAGCUUUUCAUAGACAACUUGUUGACUAUGUUUAGUCAUGCGGCUUACUCGCUUGUGCUAUUUUACCUACGCUUAGGAUGUUGACUGAUAUGUAGUCGUA